This 253-nucleotide ribosomal RNA is filed under the name uncultured bacterium. RNAcentral's name for it is "partial 16S ribosomal RNA". It matches the Rfam family "Bacterial small subunit ribosomal RNA", at positions 524 to 776 of the family's 1533-position model. The record is from RNAcentral.
UACAGAGGGUGCAAGCGUUAAUCGGAAUUACUGGGCGUAAAGCGCGCGUAGGCCGUCGAGUAAGUCGGAUGUGAAAUCUUCGGGCUUAACCUGGGAAUUGCAUUCGAUACUGCUUGACUAGAGUGUUGAAGAGGGAAGCGGAAUUUCCGGUGUAGCGGUGAAAUGCGUAGAUAUCGGAAGGAAAACCAGUGGCGAAGGCGGCUUCCUGGUCCAACACUGACGCUGAGGCGCGAAAGCGUGGGGAGCGAACAGG